GGCACAGACGUUGGUGGAAUUGUUCACAAACUAUGUUUGGAAGUAGACAACAUUUUUGAACUUUCGAGGAGUCACUUUUGCACAAAGUGUAAAAACUAGCUUGGAAUAGAUCAAUUGCAGAUUGCUGAAGGUCAUCAAAUUCCAACCGAACUAAUUAAGCCAACACUGAAAAUGUCGCCAGUAUGUAUACACGCAGCAGGGGCGUGUUGUACGUGUAAACGCUGCUUAGGAGUGUUGUUGUGGAACUGUCAUUUUGCUAAAAUCAUUUUGCCGCGAUUGCUGAAAAGCAAAUGUAAAUGUACUGAAAAUUUCGUAAUGUAACAGCCAUAUGGAUAAUACGAUGACGAACCCGUUGGGAAUGCAUUGCAGUCGAGAAAGUAAAACACUGUUCGUAAACAGAUAAAUUGUAUAAUAAUCUGUUCGGAUUUUGCUAAUUAUGCUGCUUUUAGCGAAAAACAGUAUAAUUAGACACUCAUCAUGCUCGCAGCUUUUUAGUUAUGGAAGGUACAAGCAUACAUUAUGAACAGUUCAUCCAGGCUCCAGGAGCGGUUCAUAGUAUAAGCUAACUAAACAGAUGCUCGGCGUCUUGAGCUUUCAAACCCGUCAAUAUCGACUGAGGCGUGGAAGUCCUAAAUGUCUCGAUUAUUUGGAUUCUCCAUGGCUUCCUUAUUUACUUGUCAGGCGCUACAACCAAUUGAUAGUCUUGGGCGGUUGUAGAAGUUCUCGGUGUCGCUCACGGUAUUGCGCCGUCGUCUGUCAAUCCAAUCUCGGCCUUUCUGGCGGACGCUUCGCUACGCUCCAUCUCAGCAUGGGCAUACCAAGCCCAGUUGCCUGGCUGUACUAUUUCCAGUUGACGAAAAAUACGCUUGACUUAUGACUUGAGAAAAAUUAUGUAUUGGGCCUGGCAAGCCUGAUUCGCUCGGUUGUGGAUUAACCGCCCAGCUCGUAGAGCUCGCUAUUUUAACGUCUUCUCCACAGUCCUUCCACACACACGGCACACGGCUAAAGAUCCUUCUGAGGAUCAUUCCCUCGAACACGCCAGAGAGGGGCUAGCCAGAGAGUCCAUAUCUCAAAAUCGUACUUGAUAUACAAUACAUGAACUAUGAAUAUUGUACACAGUCCCAGCGUGGUAGGCCGCGACGGCUAUUUUGAGCGAAGAAUUUUCGUCAGGCUAUACUAUAAUCGGUUCGGCAGGUCUUGGUGAACGGGACUGCUGCAUAAAAGAACCUAAAACCAUUGAUACUAUGUCACCUGCGUAAGUCAGAAUCUAUAUUGUCUUAUAGACCAUGAUCUUAGCAGUGUCCAUCUCGUUGGCCCUCUCUAGCGCCAUAUUGAAGAGACGACAGACGAGCUCAUCCUCUGGCGCAGGAUCUAAGUAGAAGCAAGAGAUUUCUUGUACUUGGGAUAGAUGAUGGAAUGAUUCCAACACACAAGGUUUCCAUUCGCUAUCUUACAUCUCAGUAAUAAUUUGAAAAAUUUCGCCCUUUUUUCAGUUGCUGCCCUACCAUUUUUGAUAAAUUCGACUACAAUUCCGUCGAUGUCUGGUGCCUUGUUGUUCUUGAGAUAACGUAUGGCCCUCCAUGUUUCCUCAAGGCUUAUUGGCCUCAUCUGCUACUGGAGUCCUUAACACGUCUCUGACUCUCGGGCAGUUAGCAGACUAGAUCCCCGUCCUUUUUUUCGACAGCAAGGAAAAUUACAUUUAUAGCACAAUGUGCUUCUAGAAAAGUUAGUAACGAUGAUUUUUUUUUUAUAUGGGACUGCAUGAUGAAUUUUAUUUUUAUUCGAUCAAGGAUCUUAUUUAUCAUAGAUGAUAGCAAAUAAUCCUACAGGGAUACACCAAGCGCAAACAUUUUAAUAUAAAGCAAUUGUACUAAUGCUUGGCAAGACUAUUGCAGCCUUAUUAAGAGCAGCUUAUCCUUCCGCGGUUUGAAUGUUGUAUUAGACAUCGAUGCAUAAAAAAGCGUUAACUCACCUUUGACUAGCUUCAUCUUUGGGCAAAUGUUUACCCUAUCGAGCGUAAAUCAUUAGUGACCUUUCCGUUUGGCUCGAGCCAUCAAAAACAGUUGAUUGCCGGAUAGGCGUACACAACGUUAAGGAUCAUUGCCCACGGCCAGUGGACUGAAUCCUCGUGUCCUUUUGAAUUCACGCAAAUAAACUUAAUCAGUGCGGUUGAACCGAACGAUUAGGGUAGUGGACGGCGGUGAUUAACCUAAUCCCGGUCCGAAUGACGAUUGAAAGUGUCCGUAUGUGUAAAUCUCCCCACCACCAACCUCGCUCACCUCGCUCACCCCAAACCGCCGCCCCUUAACUUUAUUAAUAACGGUUCACAGUGUAUUCAAUUAAGUAUUUUCACCAUCGUUAAUGAAGGCCAGCGGGAUCAUAGGAUAGGUUGCGUUCGCUUCCACAGGGCCCGUUGUGAGAAUAGUUUUGCACCGAUGAUGACGAUGAUGAUGUUGGCGUGGUGGUGGUAGUGCCCUAUCCAAUGCAACACUGCGAAACGGCGUGGAGUCGGGGACGAUAGUCGCCAGCCGGAAGCACAUUAGGACAUAAUUAAAGCGAAUAUGUACGUAGUAGUUGUGUAGAUAAUAGAAUUUUAUACGCACCAGCGCAGGUCCUUUCAAUGGGCGAUCUGUGAACGAUGGGAUGAUGGGAUGUGCAGCGGGCACCGAAGCUACUUGGGGCUUUAAUUUUAAUCAAACUUCAGCUGAAGCCGGGCGUUAAAUUACACCUACAGCGGCACACAAAUCACACAUCCAGCGCGGGUCCAGACACUGAGGAUGGUGGAUCAGGGGGGACUCGCACCAUGAACAUAUCCUCGGUUUAUUUAUUUGCGUUCCACAUUUUCGCAUGCACCACGGUGCAUUCCACGAGGGUGGGGUGCAGCGCGACUGCAGUCAUAUGGGUGGCAAUGGUGAGUUGAAAUAAAUUAAUUUCAUUCCGGUGUCCUCUUUUUUGCAGCCCACAUACACACUCACACACUUUCGGGGUAAGGAUGGGUGAUGUCCUUGCUGAACUGAUGAUGGCCGUGCAACUGUCACUGCAGUUGUGGCGUCCGAUGUGGAUGGUCUGUUGUGUUUUGUUUUAACUUCUUCUGAUUUUCUUUUAACUUUCUGAUUUCCAGCAAAAAAAAAGAAAGAGCUGGAGAUUUCUGUUUUAGUAACCGAAUUUUCCAUUUGCACUAUCACUGAUCAACUGUUUAUUUAUUUUGUUGCAUUAAUUUUUAUAGCGUUUUGCACUCUCAAAGGGGGAACGCAAUCACGCCUUGAGCGCGCCUGUUCCCCAAACGGGAGGGAGCAUUCAGCAUAAACCUGCCUGCACCGCUUUUCCGAUUGAGGAUGCAUUGAGGGUGCAAAGCAAAGUAAAGCUUAUUGAAACAUUUGACUUGCCGGCCCAAUCCAUUUCCACACACACACACGGCCGGUGCAGCUUCGAUUUUACCACACCACAUAUUAAUUUUCCUCCUUUUUUCUCUGCGUUUCGGCUUCCCGGUGGCCGGGUUCUUCGGAUUAGCGUGGUCGCUGCAUAAUGGUGCAAAUACGGCCCUUCCUCCUCCUCCCCCCUCGGAAAAUACGAACAUUAUUUCCUUGUUUGUGUACCGCCGCCCCUUCCACCUACGUAGGGGAGCACUCUUUCGCGGGCGAGCCAAACAAUCGGCGACAAAAUAAUAUUUAUAGUUUUUGGGGCCAAAAACUGGAUACGACUCUCAAGCAAUAACAACGCCAUCAAUAAGCUAUGCAGGGGGAAUGGGAGAGGGGGAGGGGAAGGUGGUUUCAGGAUUGGGAUUGUUUUAGAAUUGCACGGCAAGGCAUAAAAUUGGCCCUAUUAAUAAUCAGUGCACUGCCUGCACACUGUCGCCACACUGUCGAUUGGGCUAACAAAAAAAACGCUUCCUCUUCAGCUACAUACCAAUGCUGUACGCGCAAAGGCGGCGGGGUCAUAUAGUUAUUUAUGGUCAUUGAUGCUGCAGAUAGUGGCCGGCCACUGUUGUGAAUGCAAUAAGCAUUUGGCAAAACGGGAGCGGUCGGGCUGUAUUUCUCUCGCACCUUCCGGAUGUGUAUGAAUAUUUGGUUUUCAUCAUAUGCAUGCAACAACGUGAUUGCCGGGGCAUGUUGUUUUAUUUCUUAAAUACUAUUUGUUAAUUUUAUCCCGACCGUUGGCGCAGACUAGUACAAUUUAAAUAAAUAAAAACGUAAAUAACUUAUUUGUCCUCUAUUGUUACUUCUUAUUAUUUUAAAUCUCACUUUCAGCGCAGUGCAUUGUUCUGCUUAAACAAUGUUUAAAGCUUCAUUGAUUUUCUUAUGUUAAUGCUGU
Molecule: long non-coding RNA, 4311 nt
Organism: Anopheles stephensi (Asian malaria mosquito)
Lineage: Eukaryota; Metazoa; Arthropoda; Insecta; Diptera; Culicidae
Exons: 3
Source: RefSeq, a predicted model, not a curated record